CUGGGUGAUGACUCCAAGGCGAAUGCGACCUCCGUGCCUUCUGACUCCUGGCUCCCCGGGAGGGAGGGGGGAUGGCUAGAGGGAUUACGAUGCUGGGGGUCUGGAAUCUUGGUAGGGGUGCCAGAGGCCUGGACCCUUGCUGUAAAGCCAGAUCAACAGAAUUGCUCAGGCUCCUCGGUUCCUAGUGGCUGCCUUCAGCCCCUGGCAGCUAUACUGAGCAGGGGCCUACAGGUGGGGUCAGGGUGAAAGCAGAGGCACUGGCUGCGUUUGAGCGCAAACCCCUAGAUCUGACA
This 293-nucleotide small nucleolar RNA is filed under the name Notamacropus eugenii (tammar wallaby). The record is from RNAcentral. Lineage: Eukaryota; Metazoa; Chordata; Mammalia; Diprotodontia; Macropodidae.